UACGGGGGGGGCAAGCGUUGUUCGGAAUUACUGGGCGUAAAGCGUGCGCAGGCGGUUUGCUAAGACAGGUGUGAAAUCCCCGGGCUUAACCUGGGAACUGCGCUUGUUACUGGCAGGCUUGAGUGUGGCAGAGGGGGGUGGAAUUCCACGUGUAGCAGUGAAAUGCGUAGAGAUGUGGAGGAACACCGAUGGCGAAGGCAGCCCCCUGGGCUAACACUGACGCUCAUGCACGAAAGCGUGGGGAGCAAACAGG
This 253-nucleotide ribosomal RNA is filed under the name uncultured bacterium. RNAcentral describes it as "partial 16S ribosomal RNA". It matches the Rfam family "Bacterial small subunit ribosomal RNA", at positions 524 to 776 of the family's 1533-position model. The record is from RNAcentral.